Molecule: ribosomal RNA, 459 nt
Filed under: uncultured bacterium
Lineage: Bacteria
Description: partial 16S ribosomal RNA
Rfam family: Bacterial small subunit ribosomal RNA
Source: RNAcentral
CCUACGGGAGGCAGCAGUGAGGAAUAUUGGUCAAUGGACGAGAGUCUGAACCAGCCAAGUAGCGUGAAGGAUGACUGCCCUAUGGGUUGUAAACUUCUUUUAUAUGGGAAUAAAACGUUCCACGUGUGGGAUUUUGUAUGUACCAUAUGAAUAAGGAUCGGCUAACUCCGUGCCAGCAGCCGCGGUAAUACGGAGGAUCCGAGCGUUAUCCGGAUUUAUUGGGUUUAAAGGGAGCGUAGGUGGAUUUUUAAGUCAGUUGUGAAAGUUUGGGGCUCACCGUAAAAUUGCAGUUGAAACUGGCAGUCUUGAGUACAGUAGAGGUGGGCGGAAUUCGUGGUGUAGCGGUGAAAUGCUUAGAUAUCACGAAGAACUCCGAUUGCGAAGGCAGUUCACUGGACUGCAACUGACACUGAGGCUCGAAAGUGUGGGUAUCAAACAGGAUUAGAUACCCUUGUAGUC